Molecule: small nucleolar RNA, 107 nt
Filed under: Gossypium arboreum
Lineage: Eukaryota; Viridiplantae; Streptophyta; Magnoliopsida; Malvales; Malvaceae
Description: Plant small nucleolar RNA R71
Rfam family: Plant small nucleolar RNA R71
About the family: R71 is a member of the C/D box family of snoRNAs containing the C (UGAUGA) and D (CUGA) box motifs.
Source: Rfam by way of RNAcentral
AUCCCAUGAUGAGGACACUUACGAAGUAACUCUUUAAACCACUCCCAAGCCUCAUACAAAGACUCGUCAUCCAAUUGUUAGGAAGUGUUGAUCUCGUUCCUCAACUU